Long non-coding RNA from Mesocricetus auratus (golden hamster), 1024 nucleotides. RefSeq lists it as uncharacterized. Lineage: Eukaryota; Metazoa; Chordata; Mammalia; Rodentia; Cricetidae. The record is from RefSeq and is a predicted model, not a curated record. The transcript has 3 exons.
GUCCUACAUAUUCUUAUUCUAAUACCUCACAACUUCACAGCUGAAUUCUGCUGACAGUGACUGAUGCCAUCUUAUUCUACCACUGAGCCAAGAAUCACAAGAAAAGAAUGGCUGACUAGCUUUAACUUCUGGAGCCUGAAGGUGUAUUUGCAAGGUAUUUCUAGAGACUUAAUGUUCUGCACUUGGGCUGACAGGAUUGCUUGAGUCUUGUUUCUACACUCAGCUUUGACAGUGGAUAAGAUUUCUUCUUUUAUCACUUCUAACCCUGUGAUCAAACCCCCUGAGCCCUGAAGGAGAAAUUUGAUGAAGACCCCCUGUUAAGGACCACGAAUGGGGUAGAAGUGGAUAGGGUUCUGAGAUGGUCGACAGGAACGCUGGAUCUUUUUUUCAUCUUUUAUUUCAAAAGAAAAGUAGCUUGCAGCAUGAUAUGUGUUAAGGAAGUAAUUUAGUAUAUGCUAAAUGUGUCUCUUUGUUUCAACACUAGGUGAGAGGAAUUUUGAAUUUUGUAAUCCUCAAACAUGGAGCCAUUAUAUUUGCUCAUAAAAUAAAUAGGACAUGCUUACACCCACAGAUAAAUGCAGUCUUCAUUCCUUUUCAAGGAAACUUGUCUUUACCUCAGACUGAAACCAUUACCUAAAACUACAGCCAAUCAAUAUGCACAGUUGUGGAGUCCAUUCCCAAUGUACACAACAACUCCUACACCUAAGCAUCAUUGAUGAAGAAGAGAUGAGAAGACUGUAAGAACCAAAGGAUCAGGGAGUUAGCUGUGAGGCUGUGCCACCUUAACAACAAAAGAUACACCAACACAACUGCCCAAACAUGAAGUGAACAAUGGGAACAGCAGAAAACAUGCCAAACCGGGUGCGGAAGAGCCCAUGAGGACUUAACUCUACACAAUGAACUACAGUCAACUGAAGAAAGCUAGGAACAGGGGCCAUGACCUUCCCCAGGGAAAAGCAUAUGAACUGGUUAUUCAGUGCCAACUGAUAAAGCCUGAUAACAUACAUAUUGAAACACAAUAUGU